This 31-nucleotide ribosomal RNA is filed under the name Penicillium olsonii. RNAcentral's name for it is "partial 28S ribosomal RNA". The record is from RNAcentral. Lineage: Eukaryota; Fungi; Ascomycota; Eurotiomycetes; Eurotiales; Aspergillaceae.
GUAAUGAUCCUUCCGCAGGUUCACCUACGGA